This 78-nucleotide transfer RNA is filed under the name Candidatus Bathyarchaeota archaeon. Its description in RNAcentral is "tRNA-Arg". It matches the Rfam family "tRNA". Rfam says of the family: Transfer RNA (tRNA) molecules are approximately 80 nucleotides in length. Their secondary structure includes four short double-helical elements and three loops (D, anti-codon, and T loops). The record is from RNAcentral. Lineage: Archaea; Thermoproteati; Candidatus Bathyarchaeota. RNAcentral also lists the same sequence under 1 other name.
GGGCCCGUAGCUCAGUUUGGAUAGAGCGCUGGCCCUCUAAGCCGGAGGUCCGGGGUUCGAAUCCCCGCGGGCCCGCCA